This 451-nucleotide ribosomal RNA is filed under the name Amblyomma tuberculatum. RNAcentral's name for it is "partial 16S ribosomal RNA". The stretch from base 164 to 451 matches the Rfam family "Bacterial large subunit ribosomal RNA", at positions 2079 to 2619 of the family's 2925-position model. The record is from RNAcentral. Lineage: Eukaryota; Metazoa; Arthropoda; Arachnida; Ixodida; Ixodidae.
CUGCUCAAUGAUUUUUUAAAUUGCUGUGGUAUUUUGACUAUACAAAGGUAUUGAAAUAAGAUUUUAAUUGAAUGCUAAGAGAACGGAAUAACGAAAAAAAUCUUUCUUAAAUUUAAAAAUUAAAGUUAUUUUUGUUUGUGAGGAAACAACAAUUAAAAUUAAAGACAAGAAGACCCUAAGAAUUUUUAAUUCUUUUUAGAAAUUAAAGAAAGAAUUUUAAUUGGGGCGAUUAAGAAAAAUUUUGAACUUUUUUUGGUAAAAAUAUGAACCAAUAUUAUUGGUUAAAUGAAUAAAAAUACUCUAGGGAUAACAGCGUAAUAAUUUUUGACAGUUCUUAUAGACAAAAUAGUUUGCGACCUCGAUGUUGGAUUAGGAUACUUGUUUAAUGAAGAAGUUAAAUAAAGAAGUUUGUUCAACUUUUAAAAUCCUACUUGAUCUGAGUUCAGACCGG